This 504-nucleotide ribosomal RNA is filed under the name uncultured bacterium. RNAcentral's name for it is "partial 16S ribosomal RNA". It matches the Rfam family "Bacterial small subunit ribosomal RNA", at positions 29 to 523 of the family's 1533-position model. The record is from RNAcentral.
AUUGAAUGCUGGCGGCACGCCUAACACAUGCAAGUCGAGCGGCAGCGGGAUAUGUAGCAAUACAUAUUGCCGGCGAGCGGCGGACGGGUGAGUAAUAUGUAAGAAUCUGCCCUCAAGCGGGGGAUAACUAAUGGAAACGUUAGCUAAUACCGCAUAAUCUCGAGAGAGAAAAGGUGCCCGUAAGGGUGUCACUUGAGGAGGAGCUUGCAUCUGAUUAGCUAGUUGGUGGGGUAAGAGCCUACCAAGGCGAUGAUCAGUAACUGGUCUGAGAGGACGACCAGUCACGAUGGGGCUGAGACACGGCCCAGACUCCUACGGGGGGCAGCAGUGGGGAAUAUUGGACAAUGGGGGAAACCCUGAGCCGGCGAUGCCGCGUGAGGGAAGAAGGCCUUCGGGUCGUAAAGCUCUUUAGGUUGGGAAGAAGGGUGUGCGUGGAAUAUACGCAUACUUUGACGGUACCGACAGAAUAAGCACCGGCAAAUUCUGUGCCAGCAGCCGCCGCCG